UUGUUGGUAAGGUAAAAGCUUACCAAGGCUUCGAUCAGUAGCUGGUCUGAGAGGACGACCAGCCACACUGGGACUGAGACACGGCCCAGACUCCUACGGGAGGCAGCAGUGGGGAAUUUUGGACAAUGGGGGCAACCCUGAUCCAGCCAUGCCGCGUGAGUGAAGAAGGCCUUCGGGUUGUAAAGCUCUUUCAGCCGGAACGAAACGGUUACGGUUAACGCCCGUGACUACUGACGGUACCGGAAGAAGAAGCACCGGCUAACUACGUGCCAGCAGCCGCGGUAAUACGUAGGGUGCGAGCGUUAAUCGGAAUUACUGGGCGUAAAGCGUGCGCAGGUGGUUUUGUAAGUCAGAUGUGAAAGCCCCGGGCUCAACCUGGGAACUGCGUUUGAAACUACAAGACUAGAGUGUGGCAGAGGGGGGUGGAAUUCCGCGUGUAGCAGUGAAAUGCGUAGAGAUGUGGAGGAACACCGAUGGCGAAGGCAGCCCCCUGGGUCAACACUGACGCUCAGGCACGAAAGCAUGGGGAGCAAACAGGAUUAGAUACCCUGGUAGUCCAUGCCCUAAACGAUGUCAACUAGUUGUCGGGCCUUUACGGGCUUGGUAACGUAGCUAACGCGUGAAGUUGACCGCCUGGGGAGUACGAUCGCAAGAUUAAAACUCAAAUGAAUUGACGGGGACCCGCACAAGCGGUGGAUUAUGUGGAUUAAUUCGAUGCAACGCGAAAAACCUUACCUACCCUUGACAUGUAUCGAAGCCCGCAGAAAAGCGGGGGUGCCCGAAAGGGAACGAUAACACAGGUGCUGCAUGGCUGUCGUCAGCUCGUGUCGUGAGAUGUUGGGUUAAGUCCCGCAACGAGCGCAACCCUUGUCAUUAAUUGCCAUCAUUUAGUUGGGCACUUUAAUGAGACUGCCGG
Molecule: ribosomal RNA, 916 nt
Filed under: uncultured bacterium
Lineage: Bacteria
Description: bacterial SSU rRNA
Rfam family: Bacterial small subunit ribosomal RNA
Source: RNAcentral